RNAcentral lists this ribosomal RNA (207 nucleotides) under uncultured bacterium. RNAcentral describes it as "partial 16S ribosomal RNA". It matches the Rfam family "Bacterial small subunit ribosomal RNA", at positions 524 to 730 of the family's 1533-position model. The record is from RNAcentral.
UACGUAGGGGGCAAGCGUUGUCCGGAUUUAUUGGGCGUAAAGAGCGUGUAGGCGGCCUGGAAGGUCAGCUGUGAAAACUCGAGGCUCAACCUCGAGACGUCGGUUGAAACCACCUGGCUAGAGUCCGGAAGAGGAGAGUGGAAUUCCUGGUGUAGCGGUGAAAUGCGCAGAUAUCAGGAGGAACACCGGUGGCGAAGGCGGGUCUCU